Molecule: ribosomal RNA, 497 nt
Filed under: uncultured bacterium
Lineage: Bacteria
Description: partial 16S ribosomal RNA
Rfam family: Bacterial small subunit ribosomal RNA
Source: RNAcentral
GAUGAACGCUGGCGGCGUGCCUAAUACAUGCAAGUCGAGCGAACGGACGAGAAGCUUGCUUCUCUGAUGUUAGCGGCGGACGGGUGAGUAACACGUGGAUAACCUACCUAUAAGACUGGGAUAACUUCGGGAAACCGGAGCUAAUACCGGAUAAUAUUUUGAACCGCAUGGUUCAAAAGUGAAAGACGGUCUUGCUGUCACUUAUAGAUGGAUCCGCGCUGCAUUAGCUAGUUGGUAAGGUAACGGCUUACCAAGGCAACGAUGCAUAGCCGACCUGAGAGGGUGAUCGGCCACUCUGGAACUGAGACACGGUCCAGACUCCUACGGGAGGCAGCAGUAGGGAAUCUUCCGCAAAGGGCGAAAGCCUGACGGAGCAACGCCGCGUGAGUGAUGAAGGUCUUCGGAUCGUAAAACUCUGUUAUUAGGGAAGAACAUAUGUGUAAGUAACUGUGCACAUCUUGACGGUACCUAAUCAGAAAGCCACGGCUAACUACGUG